This 1431-nucleotide ribosomal RNA is filed under the name Dendropsophus mapinguari. RNAcentral describes it as "partial 16S ribosomal RNA". It matches the Rfam family "Bacterial large subunit ribosomal RNA", at positions 410 to 2597 of the family's 2925-position model. Lineage: Eukaryota; Metazoa; Chordata; Amphibia; Anura; Hylidae. The record is from RNAcentral.
GCUAAAAAUCUAGCCCUACUUUAUUAUAUACCCCUUCCCCCGCCCACUCUCAUAAACUAAACCAUUUAUCUAUUUAGUAAAGGCGAUUAAAAGAUUAAUUAGCGCUAUAACAAUUGUACCGCAAGGAAAAGAUGAAAUAAAAGUGAAACAAAACUAAAGCAUAAAAAAGCAGAGCCACACUCUCGUACCUUUUGCAUCAUGAUUUAACAAGUCUAACCAGGCAAAAAGCAUUUCAGUCUGACCCCCCGAAACUAGACGAGCUACUUCGAAGCAGCUUAAUGAGCACACCCGUCUCUGUUGCAAAAGAGUGGGAAGACUUCCAAGUAGUGGUGAUAGACCUAACGAGUCUAGUGAUAGCUGGUUACUUAAGAAAAGGAUUUUAGUCCUACCUAAAGCACCAAUAAUUUACUAAAAUACAUCAAGUGCUUUAAUGCUAUUCAAAUGAGGUACAGCCCAUUUGAAACAAGGAUACAACCUGCACUAAUGGGUAAUCUUUAGAGUUCUACCUUAAGCAAGUGGGCCUAAGAGCAGCCACCUUUAAAAAAGCGUCAAAGCUUAUCUACCCUUCCCCCUCAUUAAUUAUACAAAAUACCCCGAAACCCUUUACCAGUACUAAGUUAUUCUAUAACCCUAUAGAAGCCUCCAUGUUAAAACUAGUAACAAGAAGAAGACCUUCUCUUGAAUGUAAGUGUAAAUCAGAAAGGACCCACCACUGAUAAUUAUCGCCUCUGAUCAUAUAACAGCAACCCCCGCUAGAAAACCCUGUUUUCCUCAGCGUUAACCUAACACCAGCACAUUCCAAGAAAGAUUAAAAGAAAAAGAAGGAACUCGGCAAAUAUUUACCCCGCCUGUUUACCAAAAACAUCACCUCUUGUACCCUAUCAGAGGCCCAGCCUGCCCAGUGACCCAGUUCAACGGCCGCGGUAUCCUAACCGUGCGAAGGUAGCGUAAUCACUUGUUCUUUAAAUAAGGACUAGUAUGAAUGGCACCACGAGGGUUCUCCUGUCUCCUUUUUCUAAUCAAUGAAACUGAUCUUCCCGUGAAGAAGCGGGAAUCUAAGUAUAAGACGAGAAGACCCUAUGGAGCUUCAAACUAAAUAGCAUUGGCUUUUCCCCUUAUGUGCCCCCGGGUGUUAAUACUUAUUCUAGCCUUUUAACUAUGAGUUUUGGGUUGGGGUGACCACGGAGCAAAAAUUAACCUCCAUGAUGAACAGAUUUACUCUUGAGCCAAAAGUCACGACUUUAAGCACCAAUAAUUUGACAUAAGUUGACCCAAUAUUUUGAACAACGAACCAAGUUACCCUAGGGAUAACAGCGCAAUCCACUUCAAGAGCUCUUAUCGACAAGUGGGUUUACGACCUCGAUGUUGGAUCAGGGUGUCCUAGUGGUGCAGCCGCUACUAAAGGUUCGUUUGUUCAACGAUUAAUACCCU